GGGGGCGAUCUGGCUUCGACGCGAGUUGCAAAACCGUUCAGUGCAUGUCGAGCAGGUAGCUCAAUCUCGUAAAACUUAGCUGCAGGCAAUUAUAACUGCCAACGACGAAAACUUCGGUCUAGCGACCGUUGCAGCUUAAGCUGUAAAGUAGCUAGUUAGAAGCACCCCUAGCGGCUUAAAUUCCCGCUAGCUCUCAGCCAAGUGUGUUUGUGCGCUUGGAGUUGCUUGCAACGUCUGGGAGUCAUCUUACGCAAACUCGCGGUAGCUCUGCCGUCUUAGGAGCCAUUGCUAAAUUUGAAGGCUCGCUAAUAAGGUAGCUGGUCUAUUAGUAGCUUUAUUGGUUAAAAAAAAUUAAUAGACUAAACAUGUAGAGCUGAUGGCAGCGUGCUAGCGGACGCGGGUUCAACUCCCGCCGUCUCCACCA
This 424-nucleotide transfer-messenger RNA is filed under the name Gammaproteobacteria (g-proteobacteria). RNAcentral describes it as "f UBA6186 X1 Standard tmRNA". It matches the Rfam family "transfer-messenger RNA". From Rfam's summary of the family: Bacterial tmRNA, also known as 10Sa RNA or SsrA, is named for its dual tRNA and mRNA-like properties. Its role is to liberate the mRNA from a stalled ribosome. To accomplish this part of the tmRNA is used as a reading frame that ends in a translation stop signal. RNAcentral also lists the same sequence under 1 other name. The record is from RNAcentral. Lineage: Bacteria; Pseudomonadati; Pseudomonadota.